CGUUUCAGUAAAACGUUUCAGUAAAACGUUUCAGUAAAUGUUUCAAUAAAACUAAAUGUUUCAAUAAAACGUUUCAGUAAAACGUUUCAGUGAAUGUUUCAGUGAAUGUUUCAGUAAAACGUUUCAGUAAAACGUUUCAGUGAAUGUUUCAGUGAAUGUUUCAGU
This is a long non-coding RNA of Xiphophorus hellerii (green swordtail), 165 nucleotides long. RefSeq lists it as uncharacterized. The transcript is spliced from 2 exons. NCBI's taxonomy places the organism in Eukaryota, Metazoa, Chordata, Actinopteri, Cyprinodontiformes, Poeciliidae. The record is from RefSeq and is a predicted model, not a curated record.